Molecule: ribosomal RNA, 484 nt
Filed under: uncultured bacterium
Lineage: Bacteria
Description: partial 16S ribosomal RNA
Rfam family: Bacterial small subunit ribosomal RNA
Source: RNAcentral
GGGGGGGGGGGGGGGGGGGGGGGGCGGGGGGGGGGCGGGGGGGGGAGGGGGGGUGGCGCCUGGAGUCAGCGGGGGACGGGGGAGGAAUGCCUAGGAAUGUGCCUGGUAGUGGGGGAUAACGUCCGGAAACGGGCGCUAAUACCGCAUACGUCCUGAGGGAGACAGUGGGGGAUCUUCGGACCUCACGCUAUCAGAUGAGCCUAGGUCGGAUUAGCUAGUUGGUGGGGUAAAGGCCUACCAAGGCGACGAUCCGUAACUGGUCUGAGAGGAUGAUCAGUCACACUGGAACUGAGACACGGUCCAGACUCCUACGGGAGGCAGCAGUGGGGAAUAUUGGACAAUGGGCGAAAGCCUGAUCCAGCCAUGCCGCGUGUGUGAAGAAGGUCUUCGGAUUGUAAAGCACUUUAAGUUGGGAGGAAGGGCAGUAAGUUAAUACCUUGCUGUUUUGACGUUACCAACAGAAUAAGCACCGGCUAACUUCGUG